Molecule: ribosomal RNA, 403 nt
Filed under: uncultured microorganism
Description: bacterial SSU rRNA
Rfam family: Bacterial small subunit ribosomal RNA
Source: RNAcentral
GAGUUUGAUCUUGGCUCAGAUUGAACGCUGGCGGCAUGCCUUACACAUGCAAGUCGAACGGCAGCAUGAUCUAGCUUGCUAGAUUGAUGGCGAGUGGCGAACGGGUGAGUAAUACAUCGGAACGUGCCCUGUAGUGGGGGAUAACUAGUCGAAAGAUUAGCUAAUACCGCAUACGACCUGAGGGUGAAAGUGGGGGACCGCAAGGCCUCAUGCUAUAGGAGCGGCCGAUGUCUGAUUAGCUAGUUGGUGGGGUAAAGGCCCGACCAAGGCGACGAUCAGUAGCUGGUCUGAGAGGACGAUCAGCCACACUGGGACUGAGACACGGCCCAGACUCCUACGGGAGGCAGCAGUGGGGAAUUUUGGACAAUGGGCGAAAGCCUGAUCCAGCAAUGCCGCGUGUGUG